UCCCCGGCCGCGACAGGCAAAGGACUGCUCCGUCUUGCCUGGACUAUAGCUAUGGAGAAAAAAAGAAGCUCAGCUGCUUAAAUUAUGUGAUUUUUCAAACGGAUCUCACGGUUGUUUUGAGAUUUCACGUAGGAGGCGGGACACAGAAGAGUUCAAAUAAAGUUUAAAGUAGUUUUUCUGCGUGCUUUCCUGACAUGUAGUAACAUUUGAUAUCUUUUUCAAAAAAUCUCUGAAAAAUUUGUUAGCCUCGCUUUUUGAACUUCUCAGGAGUUUGCGAUGCAGUGAACGAUGGAAAGUUGUACCGCUAAAUGCAUCGACUUCGGUAGCUAAAUAGACAGCUGGCUGCCUGUAGCACCGUUUCGAAGACUAGUUACUUUUUAUUCAGGUUUGUUCAUGUUCCAACUUUACUCUUAUUAGCGGUUAGCUACGCUAGCUGAGAUGUUUUGAGCUCCGCUGUUGGGUAGUAGUAGUAGCAAUACAUGGAGUAGCUAGCUAAGUUAGCUAACUGGCUACGAUAUAUGUUACUGCGGGGGGCCCUUCCUUGGAAAUAAAUUUGUCCACGUAGCCAGCUAGCGGAUAUCCACGGUUAGCACUGGGCCAGCGGCCCAGGCUGCUCAGCCAGCUGACUAGUAUUUAACUCGGGCUCCGACGUGGGGUCUUGCUUUCACUGCCAAAUAAUGCGAUAGAAGGCAGGGUCGGGCAGAGAGUCCCGCUGUAUUAGCCAGGAGUCCCUUUUGGACCCUUGGGACUAGGUGAGGCCUGCGGGUCGGGCUUUCACCGGGUUGUAGUACUUCAGUUUGCCCGGGAGUGAGAGUGGGAGGGUCGCAAGCGACAGCAGAAGUGAACCCGGAGACCUGGGUGUACGGAAUGGAGCGGAUGGAGAUCGACCAGUGCGCAGGCGCGACGGUGGCCGGCGGAGGCGGGUCUCUUCGGAGAUCCAAUAGCGCCCCAAUGAUCACUGGCGUCAGCGAUGGAAUGGCCGUGUUCAGCUCAGCGAGUUCUGCUCGCUGUCGUCGGAGUAGCAUGUCUGUGAACCCCAGCUGUCCCGGACUGGCCCUUCCUCUGUGCCCUUUUCCAGGGGUCAGCGACAGACUGUCCUCCCACAGACAGGAUGAAAGCAUGGAGCUCACCUUGCGGGGGAACCUUAGACAGAGUGCCUUUUCUCUGGUGCCCCUCCCUCCGGUUACACACUGGCAUGAUUCUUUGGACAGUGGUGUUACCCCAAAUUCAUCCCCAAGUCCAACAAGAAGGUUUAGGAAGACACCACUGACUUCUGCUGUUAGAUGGCCUGCUUUAACACCACUCAAGAGGAAAGGAGGAGUUGAACUUGAUGCCCCACCUAAAAAGUUGUUUGUUGCUGGGGUAACCGACCCACCCCACCUUGCUGGUUAUACAGUAAGCGUGACCCAGCAAACUGGCUCAACCCAGGGGGACAUGGCCACGUCCACCAUCCCACAGAGCAACCCCCUGUCACUCUCGCUGCCGCCAUGUGCCCCAAAACAUCCCAGCCUGUAGACCCAGGUCAUCCAGUCACAUGCAUGUGUACUGCCUUGAGAGCAAAUACAUGGUUAAAGACAAGUUUCUGCUUCAAGACAAUCAGAUGAUGCUGUAUUGCCCAGUGAUGGAAAAGCAGUGCUGCUACACUUUCAGAGUAUCAGCAUUCAGAUUCCCAAAACCUGCAGUCACACCAUACCAUUCUUGAGCAAUGUUCUUUCAUGGUGUUACUUUAUCUGAAUGAAUUUGUCAGAUUUAACCCACAAUUAAGAAUUAUGGUAUUUUCUUUUUCUCUUUGGCCUAAAGUAAUUUAUAGGUACUUAGAAACACCAUAAAAUUCCCCUAAUUACAAAGUACAGAUAUGAGUGGCAUGUACAUAUGCCAUCUAUCUGAAGUUGAAGAGACUGUUGACUGUUCUGUUAACUUAUGUGCAGUGGGGAGACAGCAAUUUUAAUAAUCCUUUGAGUGGAUUGUGUUUGUAUAUAUUAUGAUGUGCAUAUAUUCAUACUGUACAUAAACUGGACAGGGGGCUGGUAGUUUGAGUCCCUUGCUCAUGACCAGUAUUGGCCAGUCUCCCUAUCUUAAGAAAACAUUUAAAGCCCUAGUAUGUACUUCAGACUUAGCAAACAAUGUGUAAAAAUUAAGCGCUGUAGUUUAAUAGUUUAUCUUAUAUUACAAUGAAGCUUCAUCCACAUAACCUGAUAUAUGAUUUAAUUUUUUUGUUUGAAUUUAUUUUUAAUGAAACUACAAAUAAAUCUGAAAACUAUCAUUUUACA
Scleropages formosus (Asian bonytongue) is the source of this 2270-nucleotide long non-coding RNA. Lineage: Eukaryota; Metazoa; Chordata; Actinopteri; Osteoglossiformes; Osteoglossidae. The record is from Ensembl.